GACAGAGGGUGCAAACGUUGUUCGGAAUUACUGGGCGUAAAGCGCGUGUAGGCUGCUCGGAAAGUCGGGUGUGAAAGCCCUGGGCUCAACCUAGGAAGUGCACUCGAAACUGCCGAGCUCGAGAUCUGGAGAGGAAGGCGGAAUUCUCGGUGUAGAGGUGAAAUUCGUAGAUAUCGAGAGGAACACCGGUGGCGAAGGCGGCCUUCUGGACAGCAUCUGACGCUGAGACGCGAAAGCGUGGGGAGCAAACAGG
This 253-nucleotide ribosomal RNA is filed under the name uncultured bacterium. Its description in RNAcentral is "partial 16S ribosomal RNA". It matches the Rfam family "Bacterial small subunit ribosomal RNA", at positions 524 to 776 of the family's 1533-position model. The record is from RNAcentral.